GUAUGAGUGCCAGAGUUUAUGGGUUGGUUUUAAGCAUCAAACAAGGGGUUCUCCCCCUCGUAUG
RNAcentral lists this transfer RNA (64 nucleotides) under Glypthelmins quieta. RNAcentral describes it as "tRNA-Leu". The record is from RNAcentral. Lineage: Eukaryota; Metazoa; Platyhelminthes; Trematoda; Plagiorchiida; Plagiorchiidae.